UCUUGUUGAUGAUAAGUAUCCCAAACCUGAAGUUCUGAUGAACAAACAUACAGAUCUGACUGCUGAGGU
Molecule: small nucleolar RNA, 69 nt
Organism: Pristis pectinata (smalltooth sawfish)
Lineage: Eukaryota; Metazoa; Chordata; Chondrichthyes; Rhinopristiformes; Pristidae
Product: small nucleolar RNA SNORD50
Exons: 1
Source: RefSeq, a predicted model, not a curated record